UACGUAGGUGGCGAGCGUUAUCCGGAAUUAUUGGGCGUAAAGAGCGCGCAGGUGGUUGAUUAAGUCUGAUGUGAAAGCCCACGGCUUAACCGUGGAGGGUCAUUGGAAACUGGUCGACUUGAGUGCAGAAGAGGGAAGUGGAAUUCCAUGUGUAGCGGUGAAAUGCGUGGAGAUAUGGAGGAACACCAGUGGCGAAGGCGGCUUCCUGGUCUGUAACUGACACUGAGGCGCGAAAGCGUGGGGAGCAAACAGGAUUAGAUA
This 261-nucleotide ribosomal RNA is filed under the name uncultured prokaryote. Its description in RNAcentral is "partial 16S ribosomal RNA". It matches the Rfam family "Bacterial small subunit ribosomal RNA", at positions 524 to 784 of the family's 1533-position model. The record is from RNAcentral.